UUUUGCUCUCCUGGCCUCCGUGCCCCCGGUGUUUGGACUCUACACUUCUUUCUUCCCCGUCCUCAUCUACAGCUUGCUAGGUACUGGGAGACACCUGUCCACAGGAACUUUCGCCAUACUCAGCCUCAUGACAGGCUCGGCCGUCGAGCGGCUGGUGCCGGAACCCCUCGUGGGGAAUCUGAGCGGAAUCGAGAAGGAGCAGCUGGACGCUCAACGGGUUGGGGUAGCCGCGGCCGUGGCCUUCGGGAGCGGGGCGUUGAUGCUGGGGAUGUUCGUGCUGCAGCUCGGCGUCUUGUCCACCUUUUUGUCCGAGCCUGUGGUCAAGGCGCUGACCAGCGGGGCCGCGCUGCACGUGCUCUUGUCCCAGCUGCCGAGCCUCUUGGGGUUGUCCCUCCCGCGCCAGAUCGGCUGCUUCUCUCUCUUCAAGACGCUGGCCUCCUUGCUGACUGCGCUGCCUCGGAGCAGUCCGGCCGAACUGACCAUCUCCGCGCUCAGCCUGGCGCUGCUCGUGCCGGUCAAGGAAUUGAACGUGAGAUUCCGAGACCGGCUACCCACGCCGAUCCCGGGGGAAGUCGUCUUGGUGCUUCUGGCCUCCGUGCUCUGCUUCACCUCUUCUGUGGACACAAGAUACCAAGUCCAGAUAGUGGGGCUGUUGCCUGGAGGAUUUCCCCAACCCCUCCUCCCCAACCUGGCUGAGCUGCCCAGGAUUCUGGCUGACUCGCUGCCCAUUGCACUGGUUAGUUUUGCGGUGUCUGCCUCCCUGGCCUCCAUCCAUGCAGACAAGUAUAGCUACACUAUUGACUCCAACCAGGAGUUCCUGGCACAUGGUGCCUCCAACCUCAUCUCCUCCCUCUUCUCUUGCUUUCCCAACUCGGCUACGCUGGCCACCACCAAUCUACUGGUGGAUGCUGGUGGGAAAACACAGCUGGCAGGCCUCUUCUCCUGCACAGUGGUCCUGUCGGUGCUGCUGUGGCUGGGGCCCUUCUUUUACUAUCUGCCCAAGGCUGUCCUGGCUUGCAUCAACAUCUCCAGCAUGCGCCAGGUGUUCUGCCAGAUGCAGGAACUUCCACAACUAUGGCACAUCAGCCGAGUGGACUUUGCUGUGUGGAUGGUCACCUGGGUGGCAGUAGUGACCCUGAGUGUGGAUUUGGGCCUGGCUGUGGGUGUGGUCUUCUCCAUGAUGACUGUGGUCUGCCGCACCCGGAGCUCCUCCAGGUCCCGGGGCUCUGCAUCCUGAGCUAUCCAACACCACUGUACUUUGGGACCCGUGGGCAGUUUCGCUGCAACCUGGAGUGGCACCUGGGGCUCGGAGAAGGAGAAAAGGAGACUUCAAAGCCAGAUGGCCCAAUGGUUGCAGUUGCUGAGCCUGUCAGGGUGGUGGUCCUAGACUUCAGUGGUGUCACCUUUGCAGAUGCUGCUGGGGCCAGAGAAGUGGUGCAGCUGGCCAGCCGAUGUCGAGAUGCUAGGAUCCGCCUCCUCCUGGCUCAGUGUAAUGCCUUGGUGCAGGGGACACUGACCCGGGUAGGACUCCUGGACAGGGUGACUCCAGAUCAGCUGUUUGUGAGUGUGCAGGAUGCAGCUGCUUAUGCCCUGGGGAGCCUGUUAAGGGGCAGUAGCACCAGGAGCGGGAGCCAGGAGGCACUGGGCUGCGGCAAGUGAGGCAGGGGAGCUCACUGACCCAAAGAUUUGCACCGUGUGGGUCUGACCUCAUCAUGUGGAGUGCAGAGGGCCCUGAUGACAUGUGUGUGAUGAGGACCAUGACCCUUGAACCCCCUUACCUAACGUAACUAAUAAAAUGAAGCUGAGAGCUUUGGAAUCC
Molecule: long non-coding RNA, 1819 nt
Organism: Homo sapiens (human)
Lineage: Eukaryota; Metazoa; Chordata; Mammalia; Primates; Hominidae
Source: Ensembl